This 253-nucleotide ribosomal RNA is filed under the name uncultured bacterium. RNAcentral describes it as "partial 16S ribosomal RNA". It matches the Rfam family "Bacterial small subunit ribosomal RNA", at positions 524 to 776 of the family's 1533-position model. The record is from RNAcentral.
UACAGAGGUGGCAAGCGUUGUUCGGAAUUACUGGGCGUAAAGGGCGCGUAGGCGGCCUUCUAAGUCAGACGUGAAAUCCCCCGGCUCAACCUGGGAACUGCGUCUGAUACUGGAGGGCUUGAGUGCGGGAGAGGGAUGUGGAAUUCCAGGUGUAGCGGUGAAAUGCGUAGAUAUCUGGAGGAACACCGGUGGCGAAGGGGGCAUCCUGGACCGACACUGACGCUGAGGCGCGAAAGCGUGGGGAGCAAACAGG